UGCGGUAAUUUGACCGUGCAAAGGUAGCAUAAUCAGUAGUCUCUUAAUUGGAGGCUUGUAUGAACGGUUGGAUGAGAGAAAAGCUGUCUCUUUUAUAAUUUAAAACUUGACUUUUAAGUGAAAAGGCUUAAAUUAGAUAAGGGGACGAUAAGACCCUAUAAAACUUUAUACAUUACUUAAUUUGUCUUUGAAUUUUAAUUAAAUUAUAGCGAACUUUUAAAUGUAUUUCGUUGGGGAGACGUUGAUAUAAUUUGUAACUGUCUAAUUAAAAAAUAUAAAUAUAAUUAUGAUAUGAUCCUUCUUUGUGGAUAAAAAGAUUAAGUUACUUUAGGGAUAACAGCGUAAUUCUUUCUGAGAGUUCUUAUCGAAGAAAGUAGUUGCGACCUCGAUGUUGAAUUAA
RNAcentral lists this ribosomal RNA (400 nucleotides) under Palaemon antennarius. Its description in RNAcentral is "partial 16S ribosomal RNA". It matches the Rfam family "Bacterial large subunit ribosomal RNA", at positions 1932 to 2540 of the family's 2925-position model. Lineage: Eukaryota; Metazoa; Arthropoda; Malacostraca; Decapoda; Palaemonidae. The record is from RNAcentral.